UACAGAGGGGGCAGGCGUUGUUCGGAAUUACUGGGCGUAAAGGGCGCGUAGGCGGCCCGCUAAGUCGAACGUGAAAUCCCCGAGCUCAACUCGGGAACUGCGUCCGAUACUGGUUGGCUUGAAUCCGGGAGAGGGAUGUGGAAUUCCAGGUGUAGCGGUGAAAUGCGUAGAUAUCUGGAGGAACACCGGUGGCGAAGGCGACAUCCUGGACCGGUAUUGACGCUGAGGCGCGAAAGCCAGGGGAGCAAACGGG
RNAcentral lists this ribosomal RNA (253 nucleotides) under uncultured bacterium. Its description in RNAcentral is "partial 16S ribosomal RNA". It matches the Rfam family "Bacterial small subunit ribosomal RNA", at positions 524 to 776 of the family's 1533-position model. The record is from RNAcentral.